Molecule: ribosomal RNA, 412 nt
Filed under: uncultured bacterium
Lineage: Bacteria
Description: bacterial SSU rRNA
Rfam family: Bacterial small subunit ribosomal RNA
Source: RNAcentral
AACGAACGCUGGCGGCAUGCCUAACACAUGCAAGUCGAACGAGACCUUCGGGUCUAGUGGCGCACGGGUGCGUAACGCGUGGGGAUCUGCCCUUUGCUUCGGAAUAACAGUUAGAAAUGACUGCUAAUACCGGAUGAUGUCGUAAGACCAAAGAUUUAUCGGCAAAGGAUGAACCCGCGUAGGAUUAGCUAGUUGGUGGGGUAAAGGCCUACCAAGGCGACGAUCCUUAGCUGGGUCUGAGAGGAUGAUCAGCCACACUGGGACUGAGACACGGCCCAGACUCCUACGGGAGGCAGCAGUGGGGAAUAUUGGACAAUGGGCGAAAGCCUGAUCCAGCAAUGCCGCGUGAGUGAUGAAGGCCUUAGGGUUGUAAAGGCUCUUUUACCCGGGUAUGAUAAUGACAGUACCGGGA